This 1035-nucleotide small RNA is filed under the name Pongo abelii (Sumatran orangutan). Its description in RNAcentral is "processed transcript". Lineage: Eukaryota; Metazoa; Chordata; Mammalia; Primates; Hominidae. The record is from RNAcentral.
AACAGCAGCCAUGGCUCACAGUGUGGGCUGGUGUGACGGGGGCAGCUGAGAGGCUGUGUCCCCCAGCCUGGAGUCAGGCCUAUGCCUCCCUGGCAGUGUGGCCAGCUUAGGCAGCCCCCUAGGGCUCUCGGAGGUCAGAGGUGGAGAGAGUGGAGCAGGAUGGAGCCCAGGUCCCCAGCUGCAGCCAUGCCCGGCCACCGUACCACCCCUGAGAAGAGCAAGGAUCGCGGCAGCAACACGAUCGGCGCCCGCCUGAACCGAGUAGAAGACAAGGUGACGCAGCUGGACCAGAGGCUGGCACUCAUCACCGACAUGCUUCACCAGCUGCUCUCCUUGCACGGUGGUAGCACCCCCAGCAGCGGCGGCCCCCCCAGAGAGGGCGGGGCCCACAUCACCCAGCCCUGCGGCAGUGGCGGCUCCGUCGACCCUGAGCUCUUCCUGCCCAGCAACACCCUGCCCACCUACGAGCAGCUGACCGUGCCCAGGAGGGGCCCCGAUGAGGGGUCCUGAGGGGGGGUUGGGGCUGGGGGGUGGUCCUGAGAGGGGAGGCCAAGAGGGGCCUCACGUGGCCCUCUCUGAAGGCGGCCACCUCCUGAAAGGCCCAGAGAGAAGAGCCCCGCUCUCAGAGGCCCAAUACCCCAUGGAGCAUGCUGUCCGGCACAGCCUGAGCUUGGGGGCUCAGCAAGGCCACCUCUUCCUGGCUGGUGGGUACUAGAAGUUGGCUGGGUGUGGGGGCCCCAUCUCAGGUCUGAGUUGUUACCCCUAGCGCCCUGGCCCCCACAUGGCGAUGUUGACAUCACUGGCCUGGUGGUUGGGACCCAGUGGCGGGGCACCGGGCCUGGCCCAUGUAUGGCCAGGAAGUAGCACAGGCUGAGUGCAGGCCCACCCUGCUUGGCCCAGGGGGCUUCCUGAGGGGAGACAGAGCAACCCCUGGACCCCAGCCUCAAAUCCAGGACCCUGCCAGGCACAGGCAGGGCAGGACCAGCCCACGCUGACUACAGGGCCGCCGGCAAUAAAAGCCCAGGAGCCCAUUUG